UACGUAGGGUGCAAGCGUUAAUCGGAAUUACUGGGCGUAAAGCGUGCGCAGGCGGUUUUGUAAGUCUGUCGUGAAAGCCCCGGGCUCAACCUGGGAAUUGCGAUGGUGACUGCAAGGCUUGAAUCUGGCAGAGGGGGGUAGAAUUCCACGUGUAGCAGUGAAAUGCGUAGAGAUGUGGAGGAACACCGAUGGCGAAGGCAGCCCCCUGGGUCAAGAUUGACGCUCAUGCACGAAAGCGUGGGGAGCAAACAGG
This 253-nucleotide ribosomal RNA is filed under the name uncultured bacterium. RNAcentral's name for it is "partial 16S ribosomal RNA". It matches the Rfam family "Bacterial small subunit ribosomal RNA", at positions 524 to 776 of the family's 1533-position model. The record is from RNAcentral.